This 305-nucleotide ribosomal RNA is filed under the name uncultured bacterium. Its description in RNAcentral is "bacterial SSU rRNA". It matches the Rfam family "Bacterial small subunit ribosomal RNA", at positions 339 to 642 of the family's 1533-position model. The record is from RNAcentral.
CUACGGGAGGCAGCAGUGAGGAAUAUUGGUCAAUGGUCGGGAGACUGAACCAGCCAAGCCGCGUGAGGGAUGAAGGUACAGAGUAUCGUAAACCUCUUUUGUCAGGGAACAAAGGCGGGGACGCGUCCCCGGAUGAGUGUACCUGAAGAAAAAGCAUCGGCUAACUCCGUGCCAGCAGCCGCGGUAAUACGGAGGAUGCGGGCGUUAUCCGGAUUUAUUGGGUUUAAAGGGUGCGCAGGCGGUCUGUUAAGUCAGCGGUCAAAGCCCGGGGCUCAACCCCGGCCCGCCGUUGAAACUGGCAGUCU